UACGUAGGGAGCAAGCGUUGUUCGGAUUUACUGGGCGUAAAGGGCGCGUAGGCGGCGCGGUAAGUCACUUGUGAAAUCUCUGAGCUUAACUCGGAACGGUCAAGUGAUACUGCAGUGCUAGAGUGCGGAAGGGGCAAUCGGAAUUCUUGGUGUAGCGGUGAAAUGCGUAGAUAUCAAGAGGAACACCUGAGGUGGAGGCGGGUUGCUGGGCCGACACUGGCGCUGAGUGCGCGAAAGCCAGGGGAGCAAACAGG
Molecule: ribosomal RNA, 254 nt
Filed under: uncultured bacterium
Lineage: Bacteria
Description: partial 16S ribosomal RNA
Rfam family: Bacterial small subunit ribosomal RNA
Source: RNAcentral